Molecule: ribosomal RNA, 444 nt
Filed under: uncultured bacterium
Lineage: Bacteria
Description: bacterial SSU rRNA
Rfam family: Bacterial small subunit ribosomal RNA
Source: RNAcentral
AACGAACGCUGGCGGCAUGCCUAACACAUGCAAGUCGAACGGGAUCCUGGCUUCGGUCAGGUGAGAGUGGCGGACGGGUGAGUAACGCGUGGGAACCUGCCCAGUGGUAGGGAAUAACUGCGGGAAACUGCAGCUAAUACCCUAUGCACCCUACGGGGGAAAGAUUUAUCGCCAUUGGAGGGGCCCGCGUCGGAUUAGCUAGUUGGUAGGGUAACGGCCUACCAAGGCGACGAUCCGUAGCUGGUCUGAGAGGAUGAUCAGCCACACUGGGACUGAGAUACGGCCCAGACUCCUACGGGAGGCAGCAGUGGGGAAUAUUGGACAAUGGGGGAAACCCUGAUCCAGCAAUGCCGCGUGAGUGAAGAAGGCCUUAGGGUUGUAAAGCUCUUUCGGCGGGGACGAUGAUGACGGUACCCGCAGAAGAAGCCCCGGCUAACUUCGUGC